UCGCCUGUUUUACAAAAACAUAGUUUAAGGAAAUAAUCUUAAAUGAAUUCUGCCCAGUGAUUUUUUUUUAAAUGGCCGCAGUACCUUGACUGUGCUAAGGUAGCAUAAUCAAUUGGCUUCUAAUUAAAGUCUGGAAUGAAAGGAAAUAUGAAGUAAUUCUAUCUUAAAGGAUUUUUUUUGAAUUUAUUUAAAUGAUGAAAAUAUCAUUUUAUAGAAAAAAGACGAGAAGACCCUUAGAGUUUUGAUAUUUAUAUAUUUUUGUUGGGGCGACAGGUAAACAUAUAACUUUACGAAUUAUCAUUGAUCGAUUUUUUAUAAGAAUAAUAAAACUACCUUAGGGAUAACAGCAUUAUAUUUUUUUUUAUGAUUGUGACCUCGAUGUUGGACUAGGAACUUUAUGGCUAGCCGUCAAAAAAGAUUGUCGCCCGUUUCAA
This 434-nucleotide ribosomal RNA is filed under the name Biomphalaria straminea. RNAcentral's name for it is "partial 16S ribosomal RNA". It matches the Rfam family "Bacterial large subunit ribosomal RNA", at positions 1796 to 2592 of the family's 2925-position model. Lineage: Eukaryota; Metazoa; Mollusca; Gastropoda; Planorbidae. The record is from RNAcentral.